Molecule: long non-coding RNA, 512 nt
Filed under: Notechis scutatus (mainland tiger snake)
Lineage: Eukaryota; Metazoa; Chordata; Lepidosauria; Squamata; Elapidae
Description: lncRNA (ENSNSUG00000015820.1)
Source: RNAcentral
GCGGAUUGGAAGACAUGACUCUCCAUCAGCUUGCAUGCAUGAGGUUGUACUUAUUUGUCAUGGGAGUCAACCCAGGCAGGAAUGCAGGACUUACCUUCAUUGUAAGCUCUAAUCCCAAGAAAAUCCCUUUUUGGAGAAAAGGGUGUUAGUGAUGCAUCUCUUCUGAUCUACAUUCCAAGGUAUAAAUUGCCUGUUUAAAGAAAAGCACUGUGAAUAUGACUUUGGAGCGGAUGACACCAGACAUGCACCUGGAAGGCAAAAUCGCCAAACUGUGUCUCACUUAUUUUGGCCAUGGUAUCGGGGAAUUCACUGAAGAAAGUAGUUAUGCUUGGAAGAAUUAAGAGGUAAAAGGAAAUCAGGCCACCAAAGAACACUGGUUGGAUACUAUCAAGGCUGACACCAGCCAGACCAUAAAAUAACUCAAGGAAGCAGCCCAGGAUUGGAUGAUGUGGGAGACCUGGCCCAUAGAAUCACCAAGAAUCGAACACGAUUGAAUGGAUAACAUCAUCAUC